Molecule: unclassified non-coding RNA, 244 nt
Filed under: Hevea brasiliensis (rubber tree)
Lineage: Eukaryota; Viridiplantae; Streptophyta; Magnoliopsida; Malpighiales; Euphorbiaceae
Source: RNAcentral
AAAUAUCACAAUGAAGAUUUAGCAGCUUUGCAUGUGUUUGAAAUUUAAUGGGAGGGGGGGGUGUUGGGGGCGGGGGUAGGGGAGUGCGUGCUCAGAACAAAUCUUAUUCUAGACAGUAGAAUAAAUAUCACAAUGAAGAUUUAGCAGCUUUGCAUGUGUUUGAAAUUUAAUGGGAGGGGGGGGUGUUGGGGGCGGGGGUAGGGGAGUGCGUGCUCAGAACAAAUCUUAUUCUAGACAGUAGAAU